This 273-nucleotide ribosomal RNA is filed under the name uncultured bacterium. RNAcentral describes it as "partial 16S ribosomal RNA". It matches the Rfam family "Bacterial small subunit ribosomal RNA", at positions 524 to 796 of the family's 1533-position model. The record is from RNAcentral.
UACGUAGGGGGCAAGCGUUAUCCGGAUUUAUUGGGCGUAAAGAGCUCGUAGGCGGCCGAUCGCGUCGGAUGUGAAAGCUCAGGGCUUAACCCUGAGACGCCAUUCGAUACGGAUCGGCUAGAGGUAGGUAGGGGAAAGUGGAAUUCCUGGUGUAGCGGUGAAAUGCGCAGAUAUCAGGAGGAACACCGGUGGCGAAGGCGGCUUUCUGGGCCUUACCUGACGCUGAGGAGCGAAAGCUGGGGGAGCGAACAGGAUUAGAAACCCCCGUAGUCC